This 66-nucleotide transfer RNA is filed under the name Drosophila buzzatii. Its description in RNAcentral is "tRNA-Glu". The record is from RNAcentral. Lineage: Eukaryota; Metazoa; Arthropoda; Insecta; Diptera; Drosophilidae. RNAcentral also lists the same sequence under 1 other name.
AUUUAUAUAGUUUAAAUAAAACAUUACAUUUUCAUUGUAAAAAUAAAUUUCUUUAUUUUAUAAAUU